This is a small nucleolar RNA of Sciurus vulgaris (Eurasian red squirrel), 132 nucleotides long. Lineage: Eukaryota; Metazoa; Chordata; Mammalia; Rodentia; Sciuridae. The record is from Ensembl.
GGCUCUCUGGUACUUACCACAGGCUGUGUUCUUAUACCGAUUGUAUACAAAGAGGAGGCAGAGUAAACCUACCCUCUAUACACCUCAGCCCAGGCCUUGUGCCUGGCCCAUAUUAUGAAUGGGGGGACCAGC